GACGAACGCUGGCGGCGUGCCUAACACAUGCAAGUCGAACGGAAAGGCCCUGACUUUGUGGGGUGCUCGUGUGGCGACCGGGUGAGUAACACGUGAGUACCCUGUCCCUGACUUUGGGAUAUCUUCAUGAAACAGGGGGUCUUACCGGCUAGGAUUUCUUGCUUCAUGGUGGGGGAUGGUUAGAUUCGGUGGUUGGGGAUGGAAUAGCGGCUUAUCAGCUUGUUGGUGAGGUAGUGGCGUACCAUGGCUAUGACGGGUAGCCGGCCUGAACGGGUGACCGGCCACAUUGGGACUGAGAUACGGCCCAGACUCCUACGGGAGGCAGCAGUGGGGAAUAUUGCACAAUGGGCGGAAGCCUGAUGCAGCAACGCCGCGUGCGGGAUGACGGCCUUCGGGUUGUAAACCGCUUUCGCCUGUGACGAAGCGUGAGUGACGGUAAUGGGUAAAGAAGCACCGGCUAACUACGUG
Molecule: ribosomal RNA, 468 nt
Filed under: uncultured bacterium
Lineage: Bacteria
Description: partial 16S ribosomal RNA
Rfam family: Bacterial small subunit ribosomal RNA
Source: RNAcentral